UUGCUUUGGCAGCAAGUGUACUAAAAUUGGAACGAUACAGAGAAGAUUAGCAUGGCCACUGUGCAAGGAUGACAUGCAAAUUUGUGAAGCGUUCCAUAUUUUA
This is a small nuclear RNA of Otolemur garnettii (small-eared galago), 103 nucleotides long. The record is from Ensembl. Lineage: Eukaryota; Metazoa; Chordata; Mammalia; Primates; Galagidae.